AGAGUUUGAUCAUGGCUCAGAUUGAACGCUGGCGGCAUGCUUACACAUGCAAGUCGAACGGGCAGGCGCGGGGGGCAACCCUGGCGGCGAGUGGCGAACGGGUGAGUAAUGCAUCGGAACGUAUCCUGUAAUGGGGGAUAACGUAGCGAAAGUUACGCUAAUACCGCAUACGCUCGAGAGAGGAAAGUGGGGGAUCGCAAGACCUCACGUUAUAGGAGCGGCCGAUGUCCGAUUAGCUAGUUGGUGGGGUAAAGGCCUACCAAGGCGACGAUCGGUAGCUGGUCUGAGAGGAUGAUCAGCCACACUGGGACUGAGACACGGCCCAGACUCCUACGGGAGGCAGCAGUGGGGAAUUUUGGACAAUGGGCGAAAGCCUGAUCCAGCCAUGCCGCGUGCGGGAAGAAGGCCUUCGGGUUGUAAACCGCUUUAGUCCGGGAAAAAGGGGUGCGAGGAUAAUACCCUCGUGCUUUGAUGGUACUGGAAGAAUAAGCACCGGCUAACUACGUG
Molecule: ribosomal RNA, 507 nt
Filed under: uncultured bacterium
Lineage: Bacteria
Description: bacterial SSU rRNA
Rfam family: Bacterial small subunit ribosomal RNA
Source: RNAcentral